UUUAAGUGUGACCAUAAAUUUUCGCGUCCAACUUUAAUCAUCUGUCUCAUUUGAAUUUUUUUUAUAAUUAGUAUUUUUAUUGUUAUGAGAUGAUAAAACAUGAAUAGUACUUUACUCGUGGUUUAUGUUUUUAAUUUUUUUUAAAAAAAAUAUCAAAUAAGACGGACGGUUAAAGUUGGACGCAGAAAACCAUGACUACAUUUAAA
This is a microRNA precursor of Oryza rufipogon (brownbeard rice), 206 nucleotides long. It matches the Rfam family "MIR812 microRNA precursor family". The record is from Rfam. Lineage: Eukaryota; Viridiplantae; Streptophyta; Magnoliopsida; Poales; Poaceae.